Molecule: long non-coding RNA, 1772 nt
Organism: Numida meleagris (helmeted guineafowl)
Lineage: Eukaryota; Metazoa; Chordata; Aves; Galliformes; Numididae
Exons: 2
Source: RefSeq, a predicted model, not a curated record
CCUCUCUCCUUGUUCUCUUUUUAUUCACUUUGCUCCAGCAGUUUUUGUUGUUUUAAUUUCCUUUGCCAAGUCUCUCUCACUCAGCUUGGCUUCUGGCAAUUCUUCCUCACACUUUGUAACCUGCAAUAUGUUAUCUUCUCCACUGUUUAAUCCCCUUUUCCACAUCUGUUAGGUUCUUUGCUUAAACCUCUCUUUUUUAUUGGCUAUUUAUCUAGCUAAGAGUACAGUUCCUUCUUUCCAGACUUUCCCUUUGUGACAAAAGCUCCAAAUGGAAUUUCUUAAGGGCAAAAAGAUAAAAGAUGUGCCUUGUCCACAUUUAACUCCCUGUGGUCCCAGAGUUAGCAGAGCACAAAUAGCUGUUCCCUCCAAAAUCCCCCUCUGUUGCCUCCUUUUUUCUCUCUCUUUCAUUCAAACUGUAUGUUUUCAAAUGGACCAUUCUAUUCUAUAUUCUAUUAAUGAUUACAUCUGAGCUACCGUGAACUCACUGGAAGGAACACUAAGUUCAGUCCUGGCCUGAUAGCAAGAUCAAUAAGCCUUUGUCAUCAGUGUCAAAACACUGUGCAUGUAACACGGCCAGAAGAGUCAAUUUGAAGAACUGGCAUAAUGCUCAUUGUGGCAUCUGAUAUUUGUCAACCCUGUCAAAAGAUGGACACCUGUGUCUGGAAGCUCUUGUGGGAUGAAACAGACUUCGAAAGCCUCACUCUCCAUGUUGUGCCUCAAGUAUUACUUCAUGGGUGUAGCAGAAUUGCUAAGUAUCAGCUUGAAACAGUGACUGAGCAUGUAGUGGGAAGGCAGGGCCAACCCAGGGGAGCUCAGGUGCAUGCAAUGUAGAUGAGUGACUGGAAGGGGUGGAGCAGGAUUCACCCCUUCCCAGACCUCAUUUAAGGGUUGGCAGUGGAGGUGAGGGUACCUUACUGGAGAUCCCUACCUACCUGAGGCCUUCCCAAGGUAAGCAGAUUUUCUUCUUAUUUCUGCUUCUGUGCCUGCAGCACUGGGGAUUGUUCUCCUCUACUGCAGCCUAGGAUUGUGCCACCCUGCUAUUACUGCUGUGUUUUCCUUCACAUUAUAGCAUUACAAUGGGCAAACUAGAGUCAAUGCACUUUACACUACAGACUCCUCACUUGAAGAAGAGAGGGAUGGAGCAGCAACAUUUCAUUCUCCCUCCCACUGAACAUUCAAGCUGCGUAGAAGCUUUGGGAGAUCUGAAAGCUUGGAAAACAGGCAAAUUUGGAAAGUAGUGUAUGUGCAUGGGAGGCAAGGACACAAGUACCUCCAGGAACACAGCCUUGUGUAGGGCACUUAACCACUCUGAUCAGCUGUACAUGCACACCAUGUGUGAACAUCAGAGCUUCUUUUCUAUCCAAAGUAAUAUCUGUAUUUAAGACCUAUGAGAUCCAGCUUAAAGAUGCACCGUUUAUUUUCCUCCACCCUGGCAACCUGUGUAAACCUCUACCUGCAACUAAAAAUGGAGCAUAUGUUGUGGCUUAUUUCAAACACUACAGAGAUGUAAGUCCUAGUAAGGCACACUGCUGCACCAGCUGUCCCCUCUGCACAGUAUUUCUUCCACCUCUAUUGCUUGCGUGUCCAGUGACUGAGGUAACAAAAUUUUAAUUCCUGUUUUUUGCAUCCAAAAAGAGACAGGGUAAUAGCACAAACACAGAAAAUCCCACAUAGGAAGGGACCCACAAGGAUCAUUGAGUCCAGCUCUUGCCCCAAGUCUGGGAUGUGUUUGGGGCUUUCCUUACUUGUUAAUUUUAUGGCACAGAGCAGAA